CCAAUAGCGUAUAUUAAAGUUGUUGCAGUUAAAACGCUCGUAGUUGAAUUUCGGAAUCUGUCCAUCGGUCGGGCUUCACUGUUCGUACUGGUGUGGUGGGUUCUUACCUUCUGAAUAACCAGCAUGCCAUUCACUUGGUGCGUUGGGGAAGCAGGACUAUUACCUUGAAAAAAUUAGAGUGCUCCAAGCAGGCCAGUGCCUGAAUACAUUAGCAUGGAAUAAUAAAAUAGGACGGCAUGGUUCUAUUUUGUUGGUUUCUAGGAUCACCGUAAUGAUUAAUAGGGAUAGUUGGGGGCAUUAGUAUUCAAUUGUCAGAGGUGAAAUUCUUGGAUUUAUUGAAGACUAACUUCUGCGAAAGCAUUUGCCAAGGAUGUUUUCAUUAAUCAAGAACGAAAGUUAGGGGAUCGAAGACGAUCAGAUACCGUCGUAGUCUUAACCAUAAACUAUGCCGACUAGGGAUCGGACGAUGUUAAUUUUUUAAUGACUCGUUCGGCGCCUUACG
RNAcentral lists this ribosomal RNA (502 nucleotides) under uncultured Glomeromycotina. Its description in RNAcentral is "partial small subunit ribosomal RNA". It matches the Rfam family "Eukaryotic small subunit ribosomal RNA", at positions 591 to 1092 of the family's 1831-position model. Lineage: Eukaryota; Fungi; Glomeromycota. The record is from RNAcentral.